This 75-nucleotide small nucleolar RNA is filed under the name Sciurus carolinensis (gray squirrel). RNAcentral describes it as "Small nucleolar RNA SNORD24". It matches the Rfam family "Small nucleolar RNA SNORD24". From Rfam's summary of the family: U24 is a member of the C/D class of snoRNA which contain the C (UGAUGA) and D (CUGA) box motifs. C/D box snoRNAs have been shown to act as methylation guides for a number of RNA targets. The record is from Rfam by way of RNAcentral. Lineage: Eukaryota; Metazoa; Chordata; Mammalia; Rodentia; Sciuridae. RNAcentral also lists the same sequence under 1 other name.
UGCAGGUGAUGUGAAAGAAUAUUUGCUAUCUGAGAGAUGGUGACGACAUUUUAAACCACCAAGAUCGCUGAUGCA